RNAcentral lists this ribosomal RNA (445 nucleotides) under uncultured Pseudomonas sp. RNAcentral's name for it is "bacterial SSU rRNA". It matches the Rfam family "Bacterial small subunit ribosomal RNA", at positions 939 to 1382 of the family's 1533-position model. The record is from RNAcentral. Lineage: Bacteria; Pseudomonadati; Pseudomonadota; Gammaproteobacteria; Pseudomonadales; Pseudomonadaceae.
AUGUGGUUUAAUUCGAAGCAACGCGAAGAACCUUACCAGGCCUUGACAUGCAGAGAACUUUCCAGAGAUGGAUUGGUGCCUUCGGGAACUCUGACACAGGUGCUGCCUGGCUGUCGUCAGCUCGUGUCGUGGGAUGUUGGGUUAAGUCCCGUAACGAGCGCAACCCUUGUCCUUAGUUACCAGCACGUUAUGGUGGGCACUCUAAGGAGACUGCCGGUGGACAAACCGGAGGAAGGUGGGGAUGACGUCAAGUCAUCAUGGCCCUUACGGCCUGGGCUACACACGUGCUACAAUGGUCGGUACAAAGGGUUGCCAAGCCGCGAGGUGGAGCUAAUCCCAUAAAACCGAUCGUAGUCCGGAUCGCAGUCUGCAACUCGACUGCGUGAAGUCGGAAUCGCUAGUAAUCGUGAAUCAGAAUGUCACGGUGAAUACGUUCCCGGGCCUU